This 749-nucleotide ribosomal RNA is filed under the name uncultured bacterium. RNAcentral describes it as "bacterial SSU rRNA". It matches the Rfam family "Bacterial small subunit ribosomal RNA", at positions 28 to 760 of the family's 1533-position model. The record is from RNAcentral.
GAUGAACGCUGGCGGCGUGCCUAAUACAUGCAAGUCGAGCGAACAGAUAAGGAGCUUGCUCCUUUGACGUUAGCGGCGGACGGGUGAGUAACACGUGGGUAACCUACCUAUAAGACUGGAAUAACUCCGGGAAACCGGGGCUAAUGCCGGAUAAUAUUUAGAACCGCAUGGUUCUAAAGUGAAAGAUGGUUUUGCUAUCACUUAUAGAUGGACCCGCGCCGUAUUAGCUAGUUGGUGGGGUAAUGGCUUACCAAGGCAACGAUACGUAGCCGACCUGAGAGGGUGAUCGGCCACACUGGAACUGAGACACGGUCCAGACUCCUACGGGAGGCAGCAGUAGGGAAUCUUCCGCAAUGGGCGAAAGCCUGACGGAGCAACGCCGCGUGAGUGAUGAAGGUCUUCGGAUCGUAAAACUCUGUUAUUAGGGAAGAACAAAUGUGUAAGUAACUGUGCACGUCUUGACGGUACCUAAUCAGAAAGCCACGGCUAACUACGUGCCAGCAGCCGCGGUAAUACGUAGGUGGCAAGCGUUAUCCGGAAUUAUUGGGCGUAAAGCGCGCGUAGGCGGUUUCUUAAGUCUGAUGUGAAAGCCCACGGCUCAACCGUGGAGGGUCAUUGGAAACUGGGGAACUUGAGUGCAGAAGAGGAGAGUGGAAUUCCAUGUGUAGCGGUGAAAUGCGCAGAGAUAUGGAGGAACACCAGUGGCGAAGCGGCUCUCUGGUCUGUAACUGACGCUGAUGUGCGAAAGC